This 420-nucleotide ribosomal RNA is filed under the name Paracoccus marcusii. RNAcentral's name for it is "bacterial SSU rRNA". It matches the Rfam family "Bacterial small subunit ribosomal RNA", at positions 29 to 496 of the family's 1533-position model. Lineage: Bacteria; Pseudomonadati; Pseudomonadota; Alphaproteobacteria; Rhodobacterales; Paracoccaceae. The record is from RNAcentral.
AACGAACGCUGGCGGCAGGCUUAACACAUGCAAGUCGAGCGAGACCUUCGGGUCUAGCGGCGGACGGGUGAGUAACGCGUGGGAACGUGCCCUUCUCUACGGAAUAGCCCCGGGAAACUGGGAGUAAUACCGUAUACGCCCUUUGGGGGAAAGAUUUAUCGGAGAAGGAUCGGCCCGCGUUGGAUUAGGUAGUUGGUGGGGUAAUGGCCCACCAAGCCGACGAUCCAUAGCUGGUUUGAGAGGAUGAUCAGCCACACUGGGACUGAGACACGGCCCAGACUCCUACGGGAGGCAGCAGUGGGGAAUCUUAGACAAUGGGGGCAACCCUGAUCUAGCCAUGCCGCGUGAGUGAUGAAGGCCUUAGGGUUGUAAAGCUCUUUCAGCUGGGAAGAUAAUGACGUACCAGCAGAAGAGCCCCGU